UGGGGAAUAUUGGACAAUGGGCGCAAGCCUGAUCCAGCAAUGCCGCGUGUGUGAAGAAGGCCUGCGGGUUGUAAAGCACUUUCAGUAGAGAAGAAAAGCUUAACGUUAAUACCGUUGAGUCUUGACGUAACCUACAGAAGAAGCACCGGCUAACUCCGUGCCAGCAGCCGCGGUAAUACGGAGGGUGCGAGCGUUAAUCGGAAUUACUGGGCGUAAAGCGCGCGUAGGCGGCUUUGUAAGUCGGAUGUGAAAGCCCCGGGCUUAACCUGGGAAUUGCAUUCGAUACUGCAGAGCUAGAGUAUGGUAGAGGGAAGUGGAAUUUCCGGUGUAGCGGUGAAAUGCGUAGAUAUCGGAAGGAACACCAGUGGCGAAGGCGACUUCCUGGGCCAAUACUGACGCUGAGGUGCGAAAGCGUGGGGAGCAAACA
Molecule: ribosomal RNA, 427 nt
Filed under: uncultured Alphaproteobacteria bacterium
Lineage: Bacteria; Pseudomonadati; Pseudomonadota; Alphaproteobacteria
Description: bacterial SSU rRNA
Rfam family: Bacterial small subunit ribosomal RNA
Source: RNAcentral